ACAGAAUCUGGAAUCUCUCGGUCGGUCGUCUGCCGCAGUAAUAGAUCCUCUAACCUCUUCAUCCGUCCUCCUGUCGACGCGCAGCGUCCAUCUGCUGUCAUGCUGCCGCAACCUGCUGAGUAACCAAAUCCGUCAACAUCGCAAGCUGAUCCUGUAACUCCCUGACCUCACUGGACCCCGAAGUGACGGAAGUCUCUACUUCUUCCGCAGCGGCCGCCUCAGCCGCCCCGGCGGUCCCAAAACGAGUCGUA
RNAcentral lists this long non-coding RNA (251 nucleotides) under Ananas comosus (pineapple). RNAcentral describes it as "long non-coding RNA (ACOM_LNC039581)". Lineage: Eukaryota; Viridiplantae; Streptophyta; Magnoliopsida; Poales; Bromeliaceae. The record is from RNAcentral.